GUGGGCUUUUAAUGACUUGGAUUUCAAUUGUAAUGCCUUCUUCAACGGGUUUAAUUGUUAGCCUCUUGCAAUUGGGCAUUAGUCCAUGCUUUUCAAUUUACUGAGUAUCUACCUUGAUUAAGGGAUCUAUUUACUGAGGUCAAUCCUUAUUAGAAUGUAUUCAGAAAGACAAGAAAAUGGAUUACUAAAGUUUUUUUUUUGACAAUGAACUCAAUUGCUUCCAUUAUCCAAGCAAGCCAAAACACAAACUUUAG
This 254-nucleotide unclassified non-coding RNA is filed under the name Hevea brasiliensis (rubber tree). Lineage: Eukaryota; Viridiplantae; Streptophyta; Magnoliopsida; Malpighiales; Euphorbiaceae. The record is from RNAcentral.